AAGUCGUAACAAGGUUUCCGUAGGUGAACCUGCGGAAGGAUCAUUAUUGAAUAAAUCUGAUGUGGUUGCAGCUGGCUCUCUUGGGAGUAUGUGCUCGCCCGUCACCUUUAUCUUUCCACCUGUGCACUUAUUGUAGAUUUGGAUGUAACUGUCCGAGGCAACUCGGUUGGGAGGAAUGUCAUUCGUGGCUUUCCUUGUAUGUCCAAGUCUAUGUUUUCAUAUACUCCAAAGAAUGUAACAGAAUGUAUCACUAGGCCUUGUGCCUAUAAAACUAUAUACAACUUUCAGCAACGGAUCUCUUGGCUCUC
RNAcentral lists this unclassified non-coding RNA (308 nucleotides) under Gymnopilus decipiens. RNAcentral's name for it is "partial internal transcribed spacer region". The stretch from base 1 to 46 matches the Rfam family "Eukaryotic small subunit ribosomal RNA", at positions 1786 to 1831 of the family's 1831-position model. The record is from RNAcentral. Lineage: Eukaryota; Fungi; Basidiomycota; Agaricomycetes; Agaricales; Galerinaceae.